RNAcentral lists this ribosomal RNA (586 nucleotides) under uncultured bacterium. RNAcentral's name for it is "bacterial SSU rRNA". It matches the Rfam family "Bacterial small subunit ribosomal RNA", at positions 60 to 640 of the family's 1533-position model. The record is from RNAcentral.
AGUCGCGGGAGAAGGGGCCCUUCGGGGCCCCGGAGACCGGCGGAUGGGUGAGUAACGCGUAGGUAAUCUGCCUUUAGCACGGGAAUAACCCACCGAAAGGUGAGCUAAUGCCCGAUGAUGCAGCGGCCCCGCAUGGGGACAGUUGUUAAAGCCUUCGGGCGGCUAAAGAUGAGCCUGCGUGCCAUUAGUUAGUUGGUAGGGUCAAAGCCUACCAAGACGAUGAUGGCUAGGGGGUCUGAGAGGAUGAUCCCCCACACUGGGACUGAGACACGGCCCAGACUCCUACGGGAGGCAGCAGUGAGGAAUCUUGCGCAAUGGGGGCAACCCUGACGCAGCCACGCCGCGUGCUGGAAGACGGCCCUAUGGGUUGUAAACAGCUUUUGGUCGGGAAGAACCCCGGAGUUUCGACUCCGGCUGACGGUACCGAUUGAAUAAGCACCGGCUAACUCCGUGCCAGCAGCCGCGGUAAUACGGAGGGUGCAAGCGUUGUCCGGAAUCAUUGGGUGUAAAGGGUGUGCAGGCGGAAGUCUAAGUCGGAGGUGAAAUCUUGCCGCUUAACGGUAAAAGUGCCUUCGAAACUGGAUUU